AGGGGCAUCGGGAGGGAAGCUUGCUUUCCUUGCCGGCGACCGGCGCACGGGUGAGUAACACGUAUGCAACCUGCCCUCUUCAGGGGGACAACCUUCCGAAAGGGAGGCUAAUCCCGCGUAUAUCGGUUUCGGGCAUCCGUUAUCGAGGAAAGAUUCAUCGGAAGAGGAUGGGCAUGCGGCGCAUUAGCUUGACGGCGGGGUAACGGCCCACCGUGGCGACGAUGCGUAGGGGUUCUGAGAGGAAGGUCCCCCACACUGGUACUGAGACACGGACCACACUCCUACGGGAGGCAGCAGUGAGGAAUAUUGGUCAAUGGGAGAGAUCCUGAACCACCCAAGCCGCGUGAGGGAAGACGGCCCUAUGGGUUGUAAACCUCUUUUGUCAGAGAACAAAACCCGGGACGAGUCCCGGACUGCGUGUAUCCGAAGAAAAAGCAUCCGCUAACUCCGUGCCAGCAGCCGCGGUAAUACGGAGGAUGCGAGCGUUAUCCGGAUUUAUUGGGUUUAAAGGGUGCGUAGGCGGUCCGUUAAGUCAGCGGUAAAAUUGCGGGGCUCAACCCCGUCGAGCCGUUGAAACUGGCAGACUUGAGUUGGCGAGAAGUACGCGGAAUGCGCGGUGUAGCGGUGAAAUGCAUAG
Molecule: ribosomal RNA, 637 nt
Filed under: uncultured bacterium
Lineage: Bacteria
Description: bacterial SSU rRNA
Rfam family: Bacterial small subunit ribosomal RNA
Source: RNAcentral